RNAcentral lists this ribosomal RNA (433 nucleotides) under uncultured bacterium. Its description in RNAcentral is "partial 16S ribosomal RNA". It matches the Rfam family "Bacterial small subunit ribosomal RNA", at positions 29 to 507 of the family's 1533-position model. The record is from RNAcentral.
AACGAACGCUGGCGGCAGGCCUAACACAUGCAAGUCGAGCGCGCCCUUCGGGGAGAGCGGCGGACGGGUGAGUAACGCGUGGGAACGUGCCCUUUUCUACGGAAUAGCCUCGGGAAACUGAGAGUCAUACCGUAUCCGCACCUUGGAGGAAAGAUUUAUCGGAAAAGGAUCGGCCCGCCUUGGAUUAGGUAGUUGGUGGGGUAAUGGCCUACCAAGCCGACGAUCCAUAGCUGGUUUGAGAGGAUGAUCAGCCACACUGGGACUGAGACACGGCCCAGACUCCUACGGGAGGCAGCAGUGGGGAAUCUUAGACAAUGGGGGCAACCCUGAUCUAGCCAUGCCGCGGGAGUGAUGAAGGCCUUAGGGUUGUAAAGCUCUUUCAGCUGGGAAGAUAAUGACGGUACCAGCAGAAGAAGCCCCGGCUAACUCCGUG